This is a non-coding RNA of Mycena polygramma, 93 nucleotides long. The record is from the annotation of a GenBank genome assembly. NCBI's taxonomy places the organism in Eukaryota, Fungi, Basidiomycota, Agaricomycetes, Agaricales, Mycenaceae.
AGCUGAGUGGUGCAGUGGUAACACGUCUGCAUACCGUAUCAGGCGUAGAACGAGGUUACGCAGAAAAGGUGGGUUCGACUCCCACCUCAGCUG